UACGUAGGAUGCAAGCGUUGUCCGGAAUUAUUGGACGGAAAGAGCGCGCAGGCGGUUUUUCAAGUCAGAUGUGAAAUAUCCGGGCUUAACCCGGAGGGGUCAUUUGAAACUGAGAAACUAGAGUACAGCAGAGGAUAGCGGAAUUCCCGGUGUAGUGGUGAAAUGCGUAGAUAUCGGGAGGAACACCAGUGGCGAAGGCGGCUAUCUGGGCUGAAACUGACGCUGAGGCGCGAAGGCUAGGGGAGCAAACAGG
Molecule: ribosomal RNA, 253 nt
Filed under: uncultured bacterium
Lineage: Bacteria
Description: partial 16S ribosomal RNA
Rfam family: Bacterial small subunit ribosomal RNA
Source: RNAcentral